Molecule: long non-coding RNA, 2694 nt
Organism: Octopus sinensis (East Asian common octopus)
Lineage: Eukaryota; Metazoa; Mollusca; Cephalopoda; Octopoda; Octopodidae
Exons: 3
Source: RefSeq, a predicted model, not a curated record
GUGUCUAUGUGUAAGUGUUAGGUACACAUAUGCACAUAUAAAUAAAGCUAAACAAUCAAUAUUUGUUUGCUUUUACUUCUGUCUACUGUCUAUCAAUUUUAUUCAAAGUAGUUUUAUAAAUUAACAAAGCGCCUGCUAAUAUAUUUUAUUUGAAAUAAUGUUAGCAAAUACUAGUAACUUUUUUCCACUGAAAUAAAAAAAAAUCUUAAAGAUAUAUAUAGCUUUUAUAAUUUAGUGUUUUGACACAAUGACUAUGAAUUAGGAUAUUAGACCAGUGUUUACUUUCUUGAAUAGGGAGAGCCAUUGUGUUGUACUUUUGGGCAAGGGACAUAACUCUGCCUACCUCUCUGCUAGACUAAUAUCAAAGUGAUUAGUGAUAAAAUGGGCAUCCAGCUAUCAAAACAGUUGCUCCAGCAAAGCCAUCCUACCUAUAUUAACACGUAAAAUAAUACCAAUGUCAAUAUUAAUGAGAUUAAAUUAGAAAUUAGAAACCUUAUUAGGAAUUUCAAUGAUAAUUGUUUUUUCUAAUUAAUAACAACAGUAAAAUAUAUUUUGAUUAUUACAUUUAUCAAUAUCAUCUUUAUAUAAAUUUAUCAUUUGUAACCUAAUAUUCAAUAACAUAAAUUAUAUAAUCGUUUUUGUUUUUCAUUAUUAUAUUAACUGAUCCAGGAAAAUCAAUAUAUAGUGUAAACUGUUGGUGUGUGGAAGGGUGGAAAAUUUGAAGUUAGUGAAAUUUAGACUUCAUAUAUGAAAUUUACUCUAAUUUGAUGGCUUGCAGUAACAGUUCACUUCAUAAAACUUUCCUAAUGCACCUUGUAGCAUAAUUUCAAUUCUUGCUGAUUAAUUUUGCUGGAAAUCUUAAUAAACAAAUCUUUCAGUGACUUGCUGUGAUAGUGUGUGUGACUUAAAUUACUUUUAUGUUUUAUAGUAAUUUUUUUUUUUGCAUUCUGUAUGUUUUCACUUUGAAUUCUUUUGCAUAAUGUAUUUGUGUGUUUUGGUUUGCAUCUCCUCCCCCCACUUCUGCCUUUUCUCUCUCAUUUUAUUGUUUUUAUUUUUACUACAGUCUUUGACAAUCUUCCAAUGUCUGGAACUUCAUUGAGAUGAUUUUAUUUUUUAAUUCACCCACCUCUUUUGCUCAAAGGUUUUGUUGUUCUAGUUUUUGAAGCACUUGGGACAUUUCCCCCCAGAGAAGGAAUGCAGGUUUUUUUUUCUCUCCCAAGGAAAGAGAUGAGGUCUGUACCACAGUAAUGAUAAUAAUAUUUUAGAGGGAAUUGAACUUUGAAUAUUGUUGUUGACUGAAAUGUGUAGCAUAAAAGCUGACAGAACUGAUACUAUCUCUCAGUAGGUUGAUCAAUGCCAUUGUCACUCAUCUAUCAUAUACAUUCAUUAUUAUAAAAUUUGAGUCACAAAUUGUUUUUCUACUUUUCAUUUUUUUUUUUUAUGAUUCAUUCAAGGACAAUUUUUAAUAUUAAAAAUUUCAUUAACAUCCUAUUGCAACAUAUAAUUAGGCUGCAAUACAUGUUUUGCUGUUUUUAGUUACUAAUAUGUACAAUUAGUUGAUAGCUAUAUGUAAUUUAGUGGAUUGUUAUCCAUCUCAACCUGAGCUUGGUUAAUUCACUUGAUUUGUUUUUAUAGAACAAGAUUAAAUUACUUGAUUUUAUUCUAAGCGUACAUACAUAAAUGUGUGUAUUUAAAAAACAGUUCAUUAGAAUAUUAUAGCAAUCAGUUAUUAAAUUUGAACACAAAGAUUGUGUAGUUACAUUUAUUGAUCAAAUGAAAACAUGUUUGAAAUUUAUUAAUCUUAUAUAAACUUAGCUAUGUCAGUAAACUCUAAGUGAAUAAAACAGAAUAUCGGUUUUAGGUUUUUAGUUUUUUCCGGUGUAAUACUGCUCUUAGGAUAAAUAAAAACUUGACAGCAGGAAGAAGGUAAGGUUUGCAAGUUGUACAACAUUAAUUUUGAGAAAUAUCACAUAGGUCAGUCAAGCAUAGAAGGCAGCUGAGAGUUAGGCAUUAGAUACUGUUUGUGAAAGGGAAACUCAAAGGGAAUGAUUUUUGUUGAGAAUAGAUUUCAAAACAUUAAUAAAAAUUACUAUAGUUAGUAAUUGAUGUAAAGUGAAAUAUAUAUAAUAUACAUACAUACAUGGGGAGAGACAGACAGACAGAGAAAAGCCAAAGAAAUGCUGAUAUAAAAAUUGUGAACAUUGACUAACUGAACAGAAUUGGAGUUAAUAGAAUAAAUGAUUGGAUCCUAGAAGAGAGGCCAUUUUGCAGGCAUAUUCUUGUCUCUACAUCUCAAAAGCAGAAAAAUAAUGAGAAAACGAAUGAGCAAAAUUAUAAAACAUACUUCACAGUGGUCAUCUAUAUCCUCUGUAAAUAAGAAAAGGUUUUGUGGUUUGUAUAAACAUUUUAUAAAUUUUGUUAUUCAUUUGGAGCUUGGCACUGCUCUGUAGCUUGCCAGAUCCUGUCAAACUGUCCAACCCAUGCCAGCAUGGAAAAUGGACAUUAAGUGAUGUAGUUCAAACUGUGGGAUUUAGUUUUAUCAAAAAAAGUAGCAUUCAAAACAUUUAGUUGGAGUUAUAUGCCUUCAAUAAGUUUGACUCAGCGUCACAUAACUAAGUUCUGUGGGUAUCGACAUCAGGUGUUCAGAGACAGUCAAAAGAAUUUGAAAGAAAUUCAGUAAUGAUUUUUAAGUGA